CCUACGGGACGCACCAGUAGGGAAUCUUCGGCAAUGGACGAAAGUCUGACCGAGCAACGCCGCGUGAGUGAAGAAGGUUUCCGGAUCGUAAAACUCUGUUAUCAGAGAAGAACAAGUAGGAGAGUAACUGCUCUUACCUUGACGGUAUCUAACCAGAAAGCCACGGCUAACUACGUGCCAGCAGCCGCGGUAAUACGUAGGUGGCAAGCGUUGUCCGGAUUUAUUGGGCGUAAAGCGAGCGCAGGCGGUCUUUUAAGUCUGAUGUGAAAGCCCUCGGCUCAACCGAGGAAGGUCAUUGGAAACUGGAGGACUUGAGUGCAGAAGAGGAGAGUGGAAUUCCAUGUGUAGCGGUGAAAUGCGUAGAUAUAUGGAGGAACACCAGUGGCGUAGGCGACUCUCUGGUCUGUAACUGGCGCUGAGGCUCGAAAGCGUGGGGUGCAAACAGGAUUAGAUACCCUCGUAGUC
RNAcentral lists this ribosomal RNA (465 nucleotides) under uncultured bacterium. RNAcentral describes it as "bacterial SSU rRNA". It matches the Rfam family "Bacterial small subunit ribosomal RNA", at positions 338 to 795 of the family's 1533-position model. The record is from RNAcentral.